RNAcentral lists this ribosomal RNA (442 nucleotides) under uncultured bacterium. Its description in RNAcentral is "partial 16S ribosomal RNA". It matches the Rfam family "Bacterial small subunit ribosomal RNA", at positions 338 to 795 of the family's 1533-position model. The record is from RNAcentral.
CCUACGGGAGGCAGCAGUAGGGAAUAUUGCUCAAUGGGGGAAACCCUGAAGCAGCAACGCAGCGUGGAGGAUGAAGGCUUUCGGGUUGUAAACUUCUUUUGACAGGGAAGAGCAGAAGACGGUACCUGUCGAAUAAGCCACGGCUAACUACGUGCCAGCAGCCGCAGUAAUACGUAGGUGGCAAGCGUUGUCCGGAUUUACUGGGUGUAAAGGGCGUGUAACGGGGCUGAGAAGUCAGAUGUGAAAUCCGGGGGCUCAACCCCCGAACUGCAUUUGAAACUGUCGGUCUUGAGUAUCGGAGAGGCAGGCGGAAUUCCUAGUGUAGCGGUGAAAUGCGUAGAUAUUAGGAGGAACACCAGUGGCGAAGGCGGCCUGCUGGACGACAACUGACGGUGAGGCGCGAAAGCGUGGGUAGCAAACAGGAUUAGAUACCCGUGUAGUC